AUUGAACGCUGGCGGCAGGCCUAACACAUGCAAGUCGAGCGGUAACACAGGGAGCUUGCUCCUGGGUGACGAGCGGCGGACGGGUGAGUAAUGUCUGGGAAACUGCCUGAUGGAGGGGGAUAACUACUGGAAACGGUAGCUAAUACCGCAUAACGUCGCAAGACCAAAGAGGGGGACCUUCGGGCCUCUUGCCAUCAGAUGUGCCCAGAUGGGAUUAGCUAGUAGGUGGGGUAACGGCUCACCUAGGCGACGAUCCCUAGCUGGUCUGAGAGGAUGACCAGCCACACUGGAACUGAGACACGGUCCAGACUCCUACGGGAGGCAGCAGUGGGGAAUAUUGCACAAUGGGCGCAAGCCUGAUGCAGCCAUGCCGCGUGUAUGAAGAAGGCCUUCGGGUUGUAAAGUACUUUCAGCGGGGAGGAAGGCGUUGAGGUUAAUAACCUCAGCGAUUGACGUUACCCGCAGAAGAAGCACCGGCUAACUCCGUGCCAGCAGCCGCGGUAAUACGGAGGGUGCAAGCGUUAAUCGGAAUUACUGGGCGUAAAGCGCACGCAGGCGGUCUGUCAAGUCGGAUGUGAAAUCCCCGGGCUCAACCUGGGAACUGCAUUCGAAACUGGCAGGCUAGAGUCUUGUAGAGGGGGUAGAAUUCCAGGUGUAGCGGUGAAAUGCGUAGAGAUCUGGAGGAAUACCGGUGGCGAAGGCGGCCCCCUGGACAAAGACUGACGCUCAGGUGCGAAAGCGUGGGGAGCAAACAGG
RNAcentral lists this ribosomal RNA (756 nucleotides) under uncultured Enterobacteriaceae bacterium. Its description in RNAcentral is "bacterial SSU rRNA". It matches the Rfam family "Bacterial small subunit ribosomal RNA", at positions 28 to 776 of the family's 1533-position model. Lineage: Bacteria; Pseudomonadati; Pseudomonadota; Gammaproteobacteria; Enterobacterales; Enterobacteriaceae. The record is from RNAcentral.